RNAcentral lists this non-coding RNA (24 nucleotides) under Arabidopsis thaliana (thale cress). Lineage: Eukaryota; Viridiplantae; Streptophyta; Magnoliopsida; Brassicales; Brassicaceae. The record is from RNAcentral.
AGCCAUUUUUGUAUAAGCAAUGGU